This 208-nucleotide ribosomal RNA is filed under the name uncultured Mesotoga sp. Its description in RNAcentral is "partial 16S ribosomal RNA". It matches the Rfam family "Bacterial small subunit ribosomal RNA", at positions 568 to 775 of the family's 1533-position model. The record is from RNAcentral. Lineage: Bacteria; Thermotogati; Thermotogota; Thermotogae; Kosmotogales; Kosmotogaceae.
AGCGUAGGUGGCCUAACAUGUCAACUGUGAAAACCCGGAGCUCAACUCCGGACUUGCAGUUGAAACUGGUAGGCUUGAGGACGGCAGAGGAAGACGGAACUGCCAGUGUAGGGGUAAAAUCCUUAGAUAUUGGCAGGAACGCCGGUGACGAAGGUGGUUUUCUGGGCCGGUUCUGACACUGAUGCUCGAAAGCCAGGGGAGCGAACGG